RNAcentral lists this ribosomal RNA (159 nucleotides) under Globodera artemisiae. RNAcentral's name for it is "5.8S ribosomal RNA". It matches the Rfam family "5.8S ribosomal RNA". From Rfam's summary of the family: 5.8S ribosomal RNA (5.8S rRNA) is a component of the large subunit of the eukaryotic ribosome. It is transcribed by RNA polymerase I as part of the 45S precursor that also contains 18S and 28S rRNA. Lineage: Eukaryota; Metazoa; Nematoda; Chromadorea; Rhabditida; Heteroderidae. The record is from RNAcentral.
CUAGCCUUAUCGGUGGAUCACUCGGCUCGUGGAUCGAUGAAGAACGCAGCCAACUGCGAUAAUUAGUGUGAACUGCAGAAACCUUGAACACAGAACUUUCGAAUGCACAUUGCGCCAUUGGAGUAACAUCCAUUGGCACGCCUGGUUCAGGGUCGUAAC